AUCCAGGUGAAGAAUCCCAAAUAGGACGAAACGCGCAUCCUGGAU
RNAcentral lists this non-coding RNA (45 nucleotides) under Schistosoma margrebowiei. Lineage: Eukaryota; Metazoa; Platyhelminthes; Trematoda; Strigeidida; Schistosomatidae. The record is from RNAcentral.